GGGCUUUGGCUCAGCACAAAUACAACAUGGAAAGGACAGGAUUCUUAAUAUUGACCAGGCGUGUUCUCCGUUUUUUUGUAUACUGUAAUUUAGUCAUUUUAGUGAUAUUACAUUAUCUUUCAAGGUGCAAAUGUUUAAUGUGCAUUGUAAGAACUGGGACAGCUCUAGAGAACUGUCCUCACCUCCCCAUUGAAGUGACCGUGAAAAUGAUUUCCAUUAUGUGACUCAAUUAAGUAUUACAAUGUACGUAUAUUUUUCUACACAUUGUGUUUUUAUGCCACACAUUUUCCCUGAGCUUGUGCCAUGUGUGUCACUCUCUACGUUCACAUUAAUGUACUGUAUUAUUGUGACUGCACGGCUGCUCCUAUUCUCAGUGGAGAUAUCAGGCCCGUGGACAGCUCUGACCUGCCUGCCACUCAAUCCCAACACAGCUGCAGCCAUUGGCCAGUGAUGGUCGACUCCAGCUGAAAGUAAUCCAGCCAUCAGCAGAGUCCAGUUUAAGGAAAAACAGGAGCCAGUGACGUGUGGGCAAGAGGAGUCGUUCUUCAUUUCAAGUCCGUCCCCUGGGGAGCAAAUUCAAAACCUCUGGAUUAAUAACACAAACAGCCACACAUGCAGCCUGGCCCCACAUGAGCGUGUGCAGAGGGAGGGAGUGGAUGCAGGUGCUACAAUAGCUGUCUUUUUCUGCAUAAGCCGCUGGAAGGAUCACAUCAUCACACAGUCCUCUACCUGGCACUCGAUGAGUGUGCUGCCCUUAUGGUACAAAGAACAGAAAGCAUCAAGUCUGCACUUAGAUAUGAAAGGACUGAAAAAAAAAUAUUCAGGGAUGGACUAUUACAGAGGGUCAGUUGUCAAACUAUAGAGGUUUCUUUUCCUCGCUUUGCAAUCUAAUUGGUGACAGAAACACCUGAAAGUGAAAGCUACACGCACACAUAUCCUCCACAGUCCUCCCAGGGCUGCCAGCCAGCUAAGCAGACAACAAGACAAGAGAAGACAGCCAUAUAGGCCUAAACAAAACAGACAAUCACACAGCUUUGAUGUACUAUUUGCUGCUAGGCCCAUCCAUAGCCACGCUCAUGAGGAGAGACUUUUAUGUAUUCCCUCCAAACCGCAGCUCUCUGGAACAAGUGGUGCCCGCACACUGUAUUCUGACUCAUUCUACUGGGACUUUUUCAUACACUGUCUUUGAAUGAGCAGUUUGUGUAAUUAUUUCUGCAUAUGUGCAACAAUCUGGAUAAGAAAUCAAUCUUGAUUAAUUUUGGCAUAGUGAGGUCAUCAUUUCCUGCCAUUAGCCUACAGGGCCACCAUGAGUAAUUGCUGUCCCUGGGAAAAAAAAUGCCCUUGAGCUCUCCUUCCACUAUAUUAACCCUUAACACAUACCAGUCCACAUCCCCACACUUAUUACUCAACAGUCAUAAUGAUUUAAUAUAUGCAGCACAAACAUUUAUUAAUUAGUGAAUUGAUUAGGGACUGUCUCUAUGGCUUAGUUACGGUCACAUCACCAUCAGGUUUCAUGGGCAACAUUGCUAAAACAUAAGCAAAACUAUGGCUGACCAAAUAAUUACAUACACGGGGAAGCACUCUUCACUGUUCUGAGACAAAGAUAAUAUUGAUAAAUGCAUUUCCCAAAGUGUUUUGCGCAUGAUUAAUAUCCAAAUGCUGGACUUCUCUUGUGCCAAAAGGGUGUAUAAGAGGAGAUCAAAUUUGCAUCUGCAUCCUCCAACGCUUUCCUAUUCCUUUUUCUGUAAUACCUAGCUGUAGAAUAUUUUGCACAACAAUCUGGUUUCUCAUAUAAACUGUCUAGAGUUCUUUGCUUCAAAUUGACCAUUAGAGUGCCCAAAAACGCAGCAGAAAAAACAGCUUGUGUGCAUCAGCCACAGGCCCCCUCAUUUCACAAGGUUGCCCUCAAAUCCUGACUUUGCUGUUAUGUAGUAUACUGUAUAUUAUCUGUCUACUGUAUGUUAGCAAUGUUAGGAUGAGAUAUUUGUCUGGAUUAACAUGCCAUCCUUCUCAGCAUAAAAAAAAAUGACUACAUGUAAUGUGAAAAGGGUCACUCAUUGCAGAGAGGAUUAUCACACAUAUCUGCAGAGUACUUAGGAGCAUUUCAGCGUCUUUCAGCUAAUUGUUUUGGUUUUAAGGCUUACAACUGUACUGUUUUGGCUCACUCUCAUCAUCGUGGUUUUGAGGGGCAGUGAGCAGGUGUUUUCAGUGAAAAAGCUCUGUGAGCUAUUUGUUCAGCAAUGGUACAUGAAAAAAAAAAUAGCUACAAGUUGGUGAAGAAUUUCAGAGGAGCUAAAUAUUUCCUCAGGAUUUGGUGGAGACCAGAACAGAGCUAAAACAACUUGUUUGUCAGAUGGACAAAAUAUUGCUCCAAGUAAACACUAUUGUUGAUCUUUUUCUGCUGGAUAUGUCACACAAAUAUUUUACCUAUGUGUUCAUCAUAUCAACUCUAUAUAAAGCAUGUUGCUCUUCUACCAAAUGGCCAACAAAUGAAAUAAUGUAGGUUUAACAUUAGAAUUUCCCCAGUGUUAUGAUGAAUUUCCUCUUUUGGGUGAACCGUUCCUUUGAUAACAUGUCUUAUUGGUAAAUAUGUAAUACUUCAGUGUUGCAAUUUUUACAUUUCAGGGGCAACGACAAAAACAUGUAAAAUU
Molecule: long non-coding RNA, 2651 nt
Organism: Xiphias gladius (swordfish)
Lineage: Eukaryota; Metazoa; Chordata; Actinopteri; Istiophoriformes; Xiphiidae
Exons: 6
Source: RefSeq, a predicted model, not a curated record